GGAGAGGUGCCCGAGCGGUUGAAGGGGGCUGUCUCGAAAACAGUUGUUCUGGCUAAAACCGGAACCGGGGGUUCGAAUCCCCCCCUCUCCGCCA
This 94-nucleotide transfer RNA is filed under the name Deltaproteobacteria bacterium. RNAcentral describes it as "tRNA-Ser". It matches the Rfam family "tRNA". Rfam says of the family: Transfer RNA (tRNA) molecules are approximately 80 nucleotides in length. Their secondary structure includes four short double-helical elements and three loops (D, anti-codon, and T loops). Further hydrogen bonds mediate the characteristic L-shaped molecular structure. tRNAs have two regions of fundamental functional importance: the anti-codon, which is responsible for specific mRNA codon recognition, and the 3' end, to which the tRNAs corresponding amino acid is attached (by aminoacyl-tRNA synthetases). tRNAs cope with the degeneracy of the genetic code in two manners: having more than one tRNA (with a specific anti-codon) for a particular amino acid; and 'wobble' base-pairing, i.e. permitting non-standard base-pairing at the 3rd anti-codon position. Lineage: Bacteria; Pseudomonadati; Myxococcota; Myxococcia. The record is from RNAcentral.